RNAcentral lists this ribosomal RNA (484 nucleotides) under uncultured bacterium. RNAcentral describes it as "bacterial SSU rRNA". It matches the Rfam family "Bacterial small subunit ribosomal RNA", at positions 30 to 507 of the family's 1533-position model. The record is from RNAcentral.
AUUGAACGCUGGCGGCAGGCCUAACACAUGCAAGUCGAGCGGAUGAGUGGAGCUUGCUCCAUGAUUCAGCGGCGGACGGGUGAGUAAUGCCUAGGAAUCUGCCUGGUAGUGGGGGACAACGUUUCGAAAGGAACGCUAAUACCGCAUACGUCCUACGGGAGAAAGCAGGGGACCUUCGGGCCUUGCGCUAUCAGAUGAGCCUAGGUCGGAUUAGCUAGUAGGUGAGGUAAUGGCUCACCUAGGCGACGAUCCGUAACUGGUCUGAGAGGAUGAUCAGUCACACUGGAACUGAGACACGGUCCAGACUCCUACGGGAGGCAGCAGUGGGGAAUAUUGGACAAUGGGCGAAAGCCUGAUCCAGCAAUGCCGCGUGCAGGAUGAAGGCCUUCGGGUUGUAAACUGCUUUUGUACGGAACGAAACGGUGAGCUCUAAUACAGUUUGCUAAUGACGGUACCGUAAGAAUAAGCACCGGCUAACUACGUG